AGUACCUUGGAAAGAGAUUUCGGUCAAUGGAAGAGGAUACUUAGUGGCGGACGGGUGAGUAACGCGUGAGGAACCUACCUCUCAGAGGGGGACAACAGUUGGAAACGACUGCUAAUACCGCAUAAUAUAUCUGUAUCGCAUGGUAUGGAUAUCAAAGAUUUAUCGCUGAGAGAUGGCCUCGCGUCUGAUUAGCUAGUUGGUAGGGUAACGGCCUACCAAGGCGACGAUCAGUAGCCGGACUGAGAGGUUGGCCGGCCACAUUGGGACUGAGAUACGGCCCAGACUCCUACGGGAGGCAGCAGUGGGGAAUAUUGGGCAAUGGGCGCAAGCCUGACCCAGCAACGCCGCGUGAAGGAAGAAGGCUUUCGGGUUGUAAACUUCUUUUAAGAGGGAAGAGCAGAAGACGGUACCUCUUGAAUAAGCCACGGCUAACUACGUGCCAGCAGCCGCGGUAAUACGUAGGUGGCAAGCGUUGUCCGGAUUUACUGGGUGUAAAGGGC
Molecule: ribosomal RNA, 500 nt
Filed under: uncultured bacterium
Lineage: Bacteria
Description: bacterial SSU rRNA
Rfam family: Bacterial small subunit ribosomal RNA
Source: RNAcentral